UACAGAGACUGCAAGCGUUAUUCGGAUUCAUUGGGCGUAAAGGGUGCGCAGGCGGUUGGGUGUGUCAGAUGUGGAAAUCCCGAGCUCAAACCUCGGAGCUGCGUCUGAAAACUGACUCGACUAGAGUACUGGAGGAGGGUAACGGAAAUUCACGGUGUAGCAGUGAAAUGCGUAGAUAUCGUGAGGAACACCAGAGGCGAAGGCGGUUACCUGGACAGUUACUGACGCUCAGGCACGAAAGCAUGGGGAGCAAAAGGG
Molecule: ribosomal RNA, 258 nt
Filed under: uncultured bacterium
Lineage: Bacteria
Description: partial 16S ribosomal RNA
Rfam family: Bacterial small subunit ribosomal RNA
Source: RNAcentral